GACGAACGCUGGCGGCGUGCUUAACACAUGCAAGUCGAACGGUAAGGCCCUUCGGGGUACACGAGUGGCGAACGGGUGAGUAACGCGUGAGUAACCUGCCCUUCACUCUGGGAUAACAGUUGGAAACGGCUGCUAAUACCGGAUAUUCAGCUCCUGUCGCAUGGUGGGGGUUGGAAAGUUUUGGUGGUGGAGGAUGGGCUCGCGUCCUAUCAGCUUGUUGGUGGGGUGAUGGCCUACCAAGGCGUCGACGGGUAGCCGGCCUGAGAGGGCGACCGGCCACAUUGGGACUGAGAUACGGCCCAAACUCCUACGGGAGGCAGCAGUGGGGAAUAUUGCACAAUGGGCGGAAGCCUGAUGCAGCAACGCCGCGUGCGGGAUGACGGCCUUCGGGUUGUAAACCGCUUCCAGCAGGGACGAAGCGCAAGUGACGGUACCUGCAGAAGAAGCACCGGCUAACUACGUG
This 463-nucleotide ribosomal RNA is filed under the name uncultured bacterium. RNAcentral's name for it is "partial 16S ribosomal RNA". It matches the Rfam family "Bacterial small subunit ribosomal RNA", at positions 28 to 507 of the family's 1533-position model. The record is from RNAcentral.